ACCCCGCCGCCGCUCGGCCCGGCCGCCAGCGCCGAGGGGCGGGGGCAGCGCCGCCGCACUGCCCGGAACGGCCCGGCCCUCCGGAGAGGCUGAGGGGGACGGCGAGGAGAGGGAGGAGGAAGGAGGAAGGAGCAGCUCCCUCGGCUGCGCUCCCUCCGCCUCCCGCGGGAGACGCGGCCCUGCGCUGGGGGCCGGGCCCACAGGCCGUGGGUCCCGCCGCGCUCCGCGGCACCGCUGAGGCGCUGCCGGCCGGGGACGCGCCCGGCCCGGGUCCCGUUUCGUGCGGGGAGAGGGUGGCGCACAGGCCGGGGGUACCGGGCCGAAGCGGGGCGUAGGGUGAGCGGCGUCCGGGCGGAGCAGGGCUCCCCGGUCCUCUCCUCGCCCCUGCGCCCCCGCGGGUGCCGGGGGCCUGUGCAAACCUACCCCGGGGGAACGCGCUCUCCUGGGAAGCGCCCCAGCUUCCAGAGGGGGUGUGCCAUCCCCCGUGACCCUGGCCUGUCCGCUGCCCGUGGGUUACAGAGCGCAGAAGGAAAGGCCUGGCUUUGCCGCAGGCUGUGUGUUAUCCUGCGGGGGAUCUAGGUCAGGAACGACAUCCCGAAGGGGCUGAUACACAUCCAUCUUGAACCAGUGUAAGAAGGUCUGUCAGAGUGAAUCUGUAAGCUUUUGUCUAUGGCAGCACAGAUUAGAGUUUAAAUCCCUUGGAAGAAAUAGCUUGAACCAGAAGAUACUGCCCAUUAAUUGCAAGAUGCACUUGAUUAUUAGAUAAAACAGUAAAAUACCUCUUCUGCAAGAGGCAGAAGUUUCUGAUUUCUGCUGAACUCACAGCUGUGUGACGCUCAUGAAUAUGGAGAUGCAGCUUCUCCCUGAUAUCCUUGUUGCUGCAUGAUGUUCAGUAGUCUCUCAGUUGCUCUCUUUGGAAAGUUGUAGGGUUACAGCACUCCUGGGCAUUCAUCUUUGCUCUAGAAGAACAUAGUGGAUUUUUUUUUUCAUUAGUAUAGCCUUUUUGAUUUUUUAAAUAUUUCUGAAACACAAGGAUAAAGGUGUGUCAAAGUGUACACCAAACCUAAUAUUAAAGAUCUCACCACAAAGAGGUGUU
Chiroxiphia lanceolata (lance-tailed manakin) is the source of this 1096-nucleotide long non-coding RNA. RefSeq lists it as uncharacterized. The transcript has 3 exons. NCBI's taxonomy places the organism in Eukaryota, Metazoa, Chordata, Aves, Passeriformes, Pipridae. The record is from RefSeq and is a predicted model, not a curated record.